Molecule: ribosomal RNA, 1405 nt
Filed under: Leuconostoc pseudomesenteroides
Lineage: Bacteria; Bacillati; Bacillota; Bacilli; Lactobacillales; Lactobacillaceae
Description: 16S ribosomal RNA
Rfam family: Bacterial small subunit ribosomal RNA
Source: RNAcentral
AAGGUGCUUGCACCUUUCAGUGAGUGGCGAACGGGUGAGUAACACGUGGACAACCUGCCUCAAGGCUGGGGAUAACAUUUGGAAACAGAUGCUAAUACCGAAUGAAACUUAGUGUCGCAUGACACGAAGUUAAAGGCGCUUUGGCGUCACCUAGAGAUGGAUCCGCGGUGCAUUAGUUAGUUGGUGGGGUAAAGGCCUACCAAGACAAUGAUGCAUAGCCGAGUUGAGAGACUGAUCGGCCACAUUGGGACUGAGACACGGCCCAAACUCCUACGGGAGGCUGCAGUAGGGAAUCUUCCACAAUGGGCGAAAGCCUGAUGGAGCAACGCCGCGUGUGUGAUGAAGGCUUUCGGGUCGUAAAGCACUGUUGUAUGGGAAGAACAGCUAGAAUAGGGAAUGAUUUUAGUUUGACGGUACCAUACCAGAAAGGGACGGCUAAAUACGUGCCAGCAGCCGCGGUAAUACGUAUGUCCCGAGCGUUAUCCGGAUUUAUUGGGCGUAAAGCGAGCGCAGACGGUUGAUUAAGUCUGAUGUGAAAGCCCGGAGCUCAACUCCGGAAUGGCAUUGGAAACUGGUUAACUUGAGUGCAGUAGAGGUAAGUGGAACUCCAUGUGUAGCGGUGGAAUGCGUAGAUAUAUGGAAGAACACCAGUGGCGAAGGCGGCUUACUGGACUGUAACUGACGUUGAGGCUCGAAAGUGUGGGUAGCAAACAGGAUUAGAUACCCUGGUAGUCCACACCGUAAACGAUGAACAGUAGGUGUUAGGAGGUUUCCGCCUCUUAGUGCCGAAGCUAACGCAUUAAGUGUUCCGCCUGGGGAGUACGACCGCAAGGUUGAAACUCAAAGGAAUUGACGGGGACCCGCACAAGCGGUGGAGCAUGUGGUUUAAUUCGAAGCAACGCGAAGAACCUUACCAGGUCUUGACAUCCUUUGAAGCUUUUAGAGAUAGAAGUGUUCUCUUCGGAGACAAAGUGACAGGUGGUGCAUGGUCGUCGUCAGCUCGUGUCGUGAGAUGUUGGGUUAAGUCCCGCAACGAGCGCAACCCUUAUUGUUAGUUGCCAGCAUUCAGAUGGGCACUCUAGCGAGACUGCCGGUGACAAACCGGAGGAAGGCGGGGACGACGUCAGAUCAUCAUGCCCCUUAUGACCUGGGCUACACACGUGCUACAAUGGCGUAUACAACGAGUUGCCAACCCGCGAGGGUGAGCUAAUCUCUUAAAGUACGUCUCAGUUCGGAUUGUAGUCUGCAACUCGACUACAUGAAGUCGGAAUCGCUAGUAAUCGCGGAUCAGCACGCCGCGGUGAAUACGUUCCCGGGUCUUGUACACACCGCCCGUCACACCAUGGGAGUUUGUAAUGCCCAAAGCCGGUGGCCUAACCUUUUAGGAAGGAGCCGUCUAAGGCAG